Molecule: long non-coding RNA, 293 nt
Organism: Helianthus annuus (common sunflower)
Lineage: Eukaryota; Viridiplantae; Streptophyta; Magnoliopsida; Asterales; Asteraceae
Exons: 3
Source: RefSeq, a predicted model, not a curated record
GGUGAAUGAACCGGUUCUGUGCUCCACAGUUGUUUCUGAUUUCAAAGAGAAUUCGGUUUCAAAAACUGAAGGCAAGGGCAAAUCAAGUGUUGAUUGUGAUGUAGAUUCAACUAUGAAGGAUGACCCGAAGGCGAAAACUGUUGUUAAUGUUAAUGAAGACAUAUCUUUAAAGGUUGUAUUUGUCCUACUUAAACUAUUAUUUUUUAAUUUUACUGAAUGUGUUUAUAUUACUUUUGAAAUUUAUGUUUUGCUUUUUUCAGGACGAAAGCAUGAGUGACAUGGAUCUCGACAGC